This is a long non-coding RNA of Taeniopygia guttata (zebra finch), 1938 nucleotides long. The record is from Ensembl. Lineage: Eukaryota; Metazoa; Chordata; Aves; Passeriformes; Estrildidae.
CCUACCCUUCCCCUGUUGUAUGUCCUGACCCCUCCCCUGAAGGGGCUCUCGGAGUCUGUUUCCCUCCCGUGCAGUUGUUUCCCUGUCAUCUUCCUACUUCACCUUGCAAUAAACUCAAGGAACUCCAGCAGCCCAAGUGUCCUCUGGUCUCCAGGGUGGAAGAUCAGAUUUCACUGCCCGAGGCCCCUUAGACCGCUCCCUCAGAGACUCCCUGUGGGACCAAAGGUCCAGGGUGCCUUUAGUCUAGCAGCUUUUCAGACUUUCUUUCAUCUUAGAGACCUUACUUAGAUCCAUCUCAAUCAGCUGAGCCUCUGCUGCCAUCAAAACCGAGAGAAAUAACAUUUCUUUAGCAUUGCUUAGAAACACAGCAGAUAGAACGAAACUGUGCAUUCCCAAUGAACGAAGGAAUUAUGUCCUAUCCACCUUCAGUAAGUCACCAAGACCAAAAUCUCUUCAGAGCAUCUCAUUUACUUUCAGCCUUGCACAGUGAGCCCUCAGCUCUCAUGGAUCAGCACUGUGGGAGGUGCCCAAGGGAAGCCCGGCCAUGGCACUCCGGCUCCGGCCUGCUCGCCAUGGUGGCCACGGGGCACAGGUUGGAGUGGAACUUGCAGGGCCCUUCCGAGCCCGUGCAUUCUGUCAUUUGUGACAUCACAGCCUCUGGGGACAGCAGGGUGGCUGGCAAGUGCCCCCAGCCGUUCCGUGCCCAGAGCCCCUGCAGACCUCGGUGUGCAGAGACGUCCAGAGCCUGUGUGGUGGUGGCAGCUCCUCCUGCGCACCACCAUGGCUGGCCAGGGCGGCUCCUGGAUGCUGCAGGUGUACCUGCUGGCGCUCCUGGUCCAUCCCCUCGACCCCUCCAGCCGUCCUGAGCGGGGCACCUCGGGCCUGCUUCCCAAGGAGCUGGAGCUGCAGGACACGGCCAAUGAGGCCGGCCCGUGGGGGGACCUGGCGCUGCUGUUCUGGACCUGCUUCCUGGGAGACGUGCUGGUCGCGGGCGUCGUCCUGGGCUGCUGCUGCCUUGGCAGAAGGUUCUGGAGACGCCGCAGAAAGGAGCAGAGCCGGGACCAUUCGGGCCGUGCCGGAGCCCGCUGCCGCUGCUGCCGGGGCCGCGGCUGCCCACGACGCUGAUGCAGCUGCUGAGGCAGAACCGCGCCCUGCUGCAGCUGUGCCUGAACCACCCGCCCCGCAGGGCCCCGGGCCGAGGGAGAAGCGCCGGGGCCGUCGGAGAGAGGAGAGUCCGGUCCCACUCAGCGCCGAGUUCCAUCGCGGCGCGGAGCUCCGGGGCAUGUGUGACCAGCGGCAUCCCCAUCUCCAGAGCUGGAGACACCCCAGCCUCAGUCCAGCGUUUCCCGAAACCUCUCCACAAGAAACUGACAUUUCCUUUAGUAUUCCCCUUCUAGAAGUUCAAGUAGUUUAGGCAUAAGAUUCUUACCCUGUAGUAUUCUAUGUAUUUUAGGCAUAAGAUUCCUACCCCGUACUGUUCAAGUAUUUUAGGCAUAAGAUUCUUACCCCGUAGUGUUCAAGUAUUUUAGGCAUAAGAUUCUUACCCCGUAGUGUUGUAGUAUUUUAGGCAUAAGAUUCUUACCCCGUAGUAUUCUAGUCCCCCUGUUGUUAUAAAUGAAUUUGUUUCAGUAGGCAGGAUUAAGGAUAGUUAAUUGUUGUAAAUAAAUUGUUAGUGUAAUGAAUUGUAUUAUAAUGAAUUGUUAAAAUUAAUAUAAUAAAUUAAAAAGUUAUAUGAAUUGUUAGUUAUGUGUGUGUAGCUGUCAAUGCAGAGAAAGGGGAAGGGCUGUAUCCAAGAGUGAAGAAACCAGCUCAACUUGUGAUUGGGAGAGCCAACCAGGCAAUGGUGCCUUAAGCUCCUGGAAUGAUUGGCCAGGAAUGCACCACCGUACACGAAGGGACCAGAGGUGGUGGUUUGGUUGGGACAACAUUCUGGCUUGC